AUCUGCACAGCCUGCUUUUGCUGAAAUCUACUUAAGUGCUCCAAGACAGUGAGUGUGUCACCUCUGCACAGGUCUGGUCCCAUCACUGCCAAGCUUUGCACUGGCACCCAAUGUGCAAUCAGGAGGUGAACUCUCAAUAGCUUAAGAGAAGAUUUGAAGAUGUAUAUGAAGACAUGGCUCCAGAGGGUACUUUGUCAGCAUUGUGAUCCCAAGGGACCAAUGUGCUGUGGUGGUAUGGAGAGCAGGCUCUUCACCUUGUCUGCACCUGCUUGGUUGAGCAUCACCCCAGUGAAGUGCAGCCAAGCUUUUGGUGAGGUUGACUGGACCCACCCCAGCGAGGAUCUGCAGCUAGUGAUCCAAAGCCUAUGCAAGAUGAGCAGCAAGGGUGCAAAUACACCCUAAAGCACUUCAGCCAUCAUCAGCUACUAGAAGGAGAACUAACCUGAAAUCCAUCAUUCCUGUGUGGAAGCCAAAUGACUGAAAAAUCAUUACAUGUGCCAGCUCUUAAGUGCUGUGUGAUGAGGUGCUUAGCAGUUGAUCAUGUAAGAAAAGAAACCGCUUUAUGAAAGAGAGGGAGGGGAAAGACAGAAGAAUCUGCCUACACCGAACUGAGCCCUCUCCAAGAGAUGAGACACAGGUUUUGUUGCACUGAAGUAACUGCUAAAAAAGAAAAAAAUUGAACUUUGUGGAGUCCCAAUAGUAAUGGCUGCAGUCUCCAGCUGUGUCAUUGCCCUAAUGAAAGAUCCUGCUUUUCACUGCGAAACCUGGUGAAAACAUUCACCCUGAGAGCAGAUCCACUUAGGAGCAUGCUGCAGCCAGCAGUCCUCCCACUGCGCAGCGUUUCAGCACCCCUUUAUUAGUCCUUUAGGAUUUUUUACCUAAUUACCUAUCUUCAGCCCCAGAUCUCUUUGUGAGAAGCUGAUCUGCUGGGCAUAGCUUCACCACCCACCCAUUCUUGCUAAGCACAAGUGCCACAGUCUCUUCCAGCUCAUACCUUGCCUAUAACUUAAAGAAAACAUGGGUGUUUCAACAAGUUCAGCUAAGCAUCAGGGACUUCUCCGUUGCUCACCACUCAUCCCAGCAUGGGUCAGUGUCUAUCCAGACCCAAUGGGGUUUCA
This is a long non-coding RNA of Neopsephotus bourkii (Bourke's parrot), 1118 nucleotides long. RefSeq lists it as uncharacterized. Lineage: Eukaryota; Metazoa; Chordata; Aves; Psittaciformes; Psittacidae. The transcript has 3 exons. The record is from RefSeq and is a predicted model, not a curated record.